This 492-nucleotide ribosomal RNA is filed under the name uncultured bacterium. Its description in RNAcentral is "partial 16S ribosomal RNA". It matches the Rfam family "Bacterial small subunit ribosomal RNA", at positions 29 to 507 of the family's 1533-position model. The record is from RNAcentral.
AGUGAACGCUGGCGGUAGGCCUAACACAUGCAAGUCGAACGGCAGCACAGUAAGAGCUUGCUCUUACGGGUGGCGAGUGGCGGACGGGUGAGGAAUACAUCGGAAUCUACUUUUUCGUGGGGGAUAACGUAGGGAAACUUACGCUAAUACCGCAUACGACCUACGGGUGAAAGCAGGGGAUCUUCGGACCUUGCGCGAUUGAAUGCGCCGAUGUCGGAUUAGCUAGUUGGCGGGGUAAAGGCCCACCCAGGCGACGAUCCGUAGCUGGUCUGAGAGGAUGGUCAGCCACACUGGAACUGAGACACGGUCCAGACUCCUACGGGAGGCAGCAGUGGGGAAUAUGGGACAAUGGGCGCAAGCAUGAUCCAGCCAGACCGCGUGGGUGAAGAAGGCCUUCGGGUUGUGAAGCCCGUUUGUUGGGAAAGAAAAGCAGCAGGUUAAUACCCCGCUGUUCUGACGGUACCCAAAGAAUAAGCACCGGCUAACUUCGUG